GCUUUAGUGCAUACAAAUUUAUCUUGAAAACACUUACUAGCCUUUUUGUUGUCAAGAAUAAACCUAGUGAAUCCUUGUAUGAUUACAUCAAGCAUUUUAAUACUAUGACCAUGAACACCAAGGAUUUUGACAGUUCAAUGGGUUGUGGAUAUUUCAUAGUAGGAGCGAGUUGUGAGCAUUUAAAAUAUGUUGUCAUGGAAAAU
RNAcentral lists this long non-coding RNA (203 nucleotides) under Gossypium barbadense (sea-island cotton). RNAcentral describes it as "long non-coding RNA (GBAR_LNC012907)". The record is from RNAcentral. Lineage: Eukaryota; Viridiplantae; Streptophyta; Magnoliopsida; Malvales; Malvaceae.